This is a long non-coding RNA of Magnolia sinica, 664 nucleotides long. RefSeq lists it as uncharacterized. The record is from RefSeq and is a predicted model, not a curated record. The transcript is spliced from 2 exons. NCBI's taxonomy places the organism in Eukaryota, Viridiplantae, Streptophyta, Magnoliopsida, Magnoliales, Magnoliaceae.
AUUCUUAAGUGUAACCAACUCACACAUACCUUCAUUUUCAUUACACUCCUAACUAUAAAUGCAUCAGAUUUACAUAAAUGCAUAUCAUAUGAUCAAGUGCAACGUAAUCACACUAUCAUUAAAACCCUAUCAUCUUUGUCUUCAAACCUCUUCGCAUUCUCAUGUACAAUGUAAAUAUAUACAUUUCCUAUUGUAUAACCCAAAUAUAUAAAAUGUGAAUUAAAUGUGUAAUUAAAUGUUGAUUUCAUUCAUUUUUUCAAGUAUUGCUUUGAAUUAGGAAUGGUGUAUUGUUAUGAACGGGAUCUUCAUGAGGGUGAACUUCAUUUUGAAUUAUAUGCUAUGGGAGGGCAAUUCAGUUAUGGAUGGGCUUGUGUAGAGAAGAAGUUCAAGCAACAACAACUCCUUCAUUAUAUGCCGCGGGAGGGUAAUUCAGUUGUGCCAAGGAUCAUUGUUUAAGUCGAAGGAUGCUUAGAUUUUGACAUGUUUGAAGAACUCAGAAUGGCUAUAUUUAUUUUUUUUGUUUAUAACAAAUGUACAUUUUGUAUUAUAUACGUGCAUUAUAUGAUACGCGAGAAAGGUGAACCCCAUUACUUUUUUUGUGAGGCCUGCUUGAAUUGAUGUACAUUUUGUGUUGUUUAAGUGCAUUAGCAGAUAAAUGAGACAU